AGAGUUUGAUCCUGGCUCAGGACGAACGCUGGCGGCGUGCUUAACACAUGCAAGUCGAACGGAAAGGCCCUUCGGGGUGCUCGAGUGGCGAACGGGUGAGUAACACGUGGGUGAUCUGCCCUGCACUUUGGGAUAAGCCUGGGAAACUGGGUCUAAUACCGGAUAGGACCAUGGCCUUCAUUGGGUUGGCUUGUGGUGGAAAGCUUUUGCGGUGUGGGAUGGGCCCGCGGCCUAUCAGCUUGUUGGUGGGGUAAUGGCCUACCAAGGCGACGACGGGUAGCCGGCCUGAGAGGGUGACCGGCCACACUGGGACUGAGAUACGGCCCAGACUCCUACGGGAGGCAGCAGUGGGGAAUAUUGCACAAUGGGCGCAAGCCUGAUGCAGCGACGCCGCGUGGGGGAUGACGGCCUUCGGGUUGUAAACCUCUUUCAGCACAGACGAAGCGUGAGUGACGGUAUGUGCAGAAGAAGCACCGGCCAACUACGUGCCAGCAGCCGCGGUAAUACGUAGGGUGCGAGCGUUGUCCGGAAUUACUGGGCGUAAAGAGCUCGUAGGUGGUUUGUCGCGUUGUUCGUGAAAACUCACAGCUUAACUGUGGGCGUGCGGGCGAUACGGGCAGACUGGAGUACUGCAGGGGAGACUGGAAUUCCUGGUGUAGCGGUGGAAUGCGCAGAUAUCAGGAGGAACACCGGUGGCGAAAGGCGGGUCUCUGGGCAGUAACUGACGCUGAGGAGCGAAAGCGUGGGGAGCGAACAGGAUUAGAUACCCUGGUAGUCCACGCCGUAAACGGUGGGUACUAGGUGGGGGUUUCUUCCUUGGGAUCGUGCCGUAGCUAACGCAU
Molecule: ribosomal RNA, 842 nt
Filed under: bacterium enrichment culture
Lineage: Bacteria
Description: bacterial SSU rRNA
Rfam family: Bacterial small subunit ribosomal RNA
Source: RNAcentral